Molecule: ribosomal RNA, 274 nt
Filed under: uncultured bacterium
Lineage: Bacteria
Description: partial 16S ribosomal RNA
Rfam family: Bacterial small subunit ribosomal RNA
Source: RNAcentral
AUACAGGGGGUGCGAGCGUUAAUCGGAAUUACUGGGCGUAAAGAGUACGUAGGCGGUUGCUUAAGUCAGAUGUGAAAGCCCCGGGCUCAACCUGGGAACUGCAUUUGAAACUGAGUGACUAGAGUUUAAGAGAGGGGAGUAGAAUUCCGGGUGUAGCGGUGAAAUGCGUAGAGAUCCGGAGGAAUACCAGUGGAGAAGGCGGCUCCCUGGCUUAAAACUGACGCUGAGGUACGAAAGCGUGGGUAGCAAACAGGAUUAGAAACCCGAGUAGUCC